GGACAACCUACCCUCCGGACGGGUAUAAACCCGGGAAACUGGGUAUAAUCCCCGAUAGAUCUCGGUCGCUGGAAAGCCCCAAGAUCGAAAGCUCCGGCGCCAGAGGAUGGGUCUGCGGCCUAUCAGGUAGUAGUGGGUGUAGCGUACCUACUAGCCUACGACGGGUACGGGUUGUGAGAGCAAGAGCCCGGAGAUGGAUUCUGAGACACGAAUCCAGGCCCUACGGGGUGCAGCAGGCGCGAAAACUUUACAAUGCCGGCAACGGCGAUAAGGGGACCUCGAGUGCCAGGUUACAAAUCUGGCUGUCGUGAUGCCUAAAAAGCAUUGCAUAGCAAGGGCCGGGCAAGACCGGUGCCAGCCGCCGCGGUAACACCGGCGGCUCGAGUGGUAACCGUUGUUAUUGGGUCUAAAGGGUCUGUAGCCGGCCGGAUAAGUCUCUUGAGAAAUCCAGCAGCUCAACUGUUGGGCUUUCAGGAG
This 477-nucleotide ribosomal RNA is filed under the name uncultured archaeon. RNAcentral describes it as "bacterial SSU rRNA". It matches the Rfam family "Archaeal small subunit ribosomal RNA", at positions 102 to 580 of the family's 1478-position model. The record is from RNAcentral.